Long non-coding RNA from Musa acuminata AAA Group (dessert banana), 2108 nucleotides. RefSeq lists it as uncharacterized. The transcript has 2 exons. The record is from RefSeq and is a predicted model, not a curated record. Lineage: Eukaryota; Viridiplantae; Streptophyta; Magnoliopsida; Zingiberales; Musaceae.
UCUCAGACAUUCUGAUUCAAGAAGACAAAGCCACCACAGUAAGUGCUGCAGCUGAGAUAAGCUUGUGAGAAGCCCAGGCAAUUCCAACUUGGAACCACAAUUGUAGUGAUGAUGAACUUGAACAUGUUCUACUGAUGAAUCACUGAGUUUGGAAUCGAAUCUGCUGCUGUCGCGUGCCAAAGCUAAAGCUGUAAACUUCUCUGGAGUAAGGAUUGGCAACUGAAGAGAACAAACAAAGAUACAGCUUUUUUGUGUUGGAUACCUUUACAUGUCAAGCAAGCAUUAGAGGCUGUUAUUUGGAGCUCUGCCAUGGGCGUGGCAGAAUACAUAUGUCGAGGUGCGUCGCCAGUACAGGUUUCGAGAGAAGGAUAACCCUCGAUAUUUGUGUAAGUCGGAUUCUCCUUGAAGGUGAUCACAGAGAUUGGGUGAUAACACAUGAUUAUGGCAAAAGCCACAAAUUCCUCCCACUAAGAACAUCAAUCUCAUUACUUAUUUGAUUCACCGACACCAACAUCAGAAAGCUGAAAGCUACACGCCCCACUUCAUCCCACAAACAAGGUACUACUCCACACUAAACCUUUAUUCAUGGCUAUUCUCCUCUCAUCAAACGACUACCGUCAGUGCUAGACUAGUAGUGAUCGUGCAUCAAUAGGGGAGAUAACACUUGCUCGAUUUCACCGGGCCGAACUCGAAGAAGCCUGCGGUGUAGAGAGCAAUGGUGUUGUACCCGUCGCUCAGCUUCCUCUCAAACAUCAGAGAAGCUCCUGGUCCUUUCAACCCAUACCGCCGCGGCACCUGGCACGGGCCUACCGGCGACCACAGCACAAACACCCUGCAGGUGCGCGACAGCGACUUGUACUUCAGUUGUGUCUGCAGGUAGAAGUAGCCAUGGGAGUCGGUCCUUCCUUUAGCUGCCCACACCGUGCGCUGGCUGCCGCACUUCAGCAGCACCACCGCACCUGCGACGAUGGACGACGCAAGAACAAGAGGUUAGUCGUGCACACUACUGCACCGUCAUGUGAAAAUGCUAAUGAAGGAAACAAAACCUGGAAGAGGGGCGCCAUCGACGGCCUUUGAGUAGCGCGGGAGCUUGCACCUGCAGUAGAUGACGCCUUCAGCCGCGAUGGUGAAGAUCGGAGGCGCUGCGGGUGCUAUCAUCGGCGGCGGAACCGGUGGCAGCGCGACGGGAUGUUCCGAUGAUGGUUUCAUCUCCAUUUCGGCACCCUUGGCCGCAGGAAAGACGAGGAAAACGCUCAGGAAGAGCGUCACAAGCUGAAGACCUACUAAGCUCUUCAACCAACUCAUCUUCUCUGCCGAUCGACUUAUCUAUCUCUUCUUACUGCGUGAACAACAUGAAGUGACUCCAAAACCUCAGGCACCAGCAUCUGUAGCAUGAGGCCUAUUUAUAGCAGCUACUUGCUGAUCUCUCCUGUGCUUUGGGAUCGAAGAAGGAGAUAGAGAAGAGCAACGUGACUGGCCAGUGAGGGCAUAGCUGGCCAUGCACGCAAAUCUUAGUACGUCGCCUAGGAUCGUUUCUUCUCAGAGAUCAGCAGGUGGCGAACAUUAAUUUGCUGCAUCUGGAAUUGGGCCGCUCCAUGUGAUCAACGCCAUGGGUUGGAUUACAUCCGUGGAUUAUACUCUUCCCAUGCAUGAAACCCUAAUCUUGUGCGAGCGUACAACCCGCCAACUGCCUCGUAGGCUGUUCUUGGUGACGUGCAAAGCGGGUCUGUGCGGCGCGAGUUAGACUGCAGGCUGUCUGCUUCGAUCAACGCUGGUCCUGUUCUUCCCCGUUGAUGCGGCUGCCAUGAGCACGGAUCCUCCGCUGCACUGGUCAUUCUGCUUUAGGAUUUGUGUUCUGGAUGUGGUCAACGUCACUAUGGGCUUCGCGUAUCAAUUAUGAGAGUUCUUGGGAGAGAACAUCGAGACACAGAAAAAUUAGGAUUUGAUAGUACUGAUAGAUUGGAUCCAAACAAAGGUCUUGAUCGCCAUGAAGAUCAUAAGGAAUGGCACAUGGCAUGGGUGAAGGUUGGAUGUGCCAAAACAACUAGAGCAAUUAGCAAGCACAAUAUUUGUAUUAUUGAUUUAAUAAAUUUUUCUUCUUUUUUCUU